RNAcentral lists this ribosomal RNA (605 nucleotides) under uncultured marine bacterium. Its description in RNAcentral is "bacterial SSU rRNA". It matches the Rfam family "Bacterial small subunit ribosomal RNA", at positions 75 to 692 of the family's 1533-position model. The record is from RNAcentral.
GUAGUUUACUACUAGAAAUGACUGAGCGGCGAACGGGUGAGUAACGCGUGAGCAAUCUACCUUAGUUACUGGGAUAGCCCGAGGAAACUCGGAUUAAUACCGGAUAUUCUUAUUUUUUCACAUGAAGUUUUAAGGAAAGGUCAGCCGAACUAAGAUGAGCUCGCGUUCUAUCAGCUAGUUGGUGGGGUAAAAGCCUACCAAGGCUACGACGGAUAGCUGGUCUGAGAGGACGAUCAGCCACACUGGGACUGAGACACGGCCCAGACUCCUACGGGAGGCUGCAGCAGGGAAUAUUGUGCAAUGAGCGAAAGCUUGACACAGCGACACCGCGUGUGGGAUGACGGUUCUAGGAUUGUAAACCACUUUCAGGAGGGAAGAAAAUGACGGUACCUCCACAAGAAGACCCGGCCAACUAUGUGCCAGCAGCCGCGGUAAUACAUAGGGGUCAAGCGUUGUCCGGAUUUAUUGGGCGUAAAGAGCUCGUAGGCGGUUCAACAAGUCGGUCGUAAAAGUUUAGGGCUCAACCCUAAAAUGUCGAUCGAUACUGUUGUGACUAGGAUACGGUAGAGGUGAAUGGAAUCCCGAGUGUAGCGGUGAAAUGCGUA